AGUCAACAUGCCCAGAGGACGUGGAUAACCUCGGGAAACUGAGGAUAAACCGCGAUAGGUCAUAAUAUCUGGAAUGAUUUAUGGUUUAAAUCUAUAUGGCCUCUGGAUUGGACUGCGGCCGAUCAGGCUGUUGGUGAGGUAAUGGCCCACCAAACCUAAAACCGGUACGGGCUCUGAGAGGAGAAGCCCGGAGAUGGGCACUGAGACAAGGGCCCAGGCCCUAUGGGGCGCAGCAGGCGCGAAAACUCUGCAAUAAGCGAAAGCUUGACAGGGUUAUUCUGAGUGAUUUCCGCUAAGGAAAUCUUUUGGCACCUCUAAAAAUGGUGCAGAAUAAGGGGUGGGCAAGCCUGGUGUCAGCCGCCGCGGUAAUACCAGCACCCCGAGUGGUCGGGACGAUUAUUGGGCCUAAAGCAUCCGUAGCCGGUUCUACAAGUCUUCCGUUAAAUCCACCUGCUUAACAGAUGGGCUGCGGAGGAUACUAUGGAGCUAGGAGGCGGGAGAGGCAAGCGGUACUUAGUGGGUAGGGGUAAAAUCCGUUGAUCCAUUGAAGACCACCAGUGGCGAAGGCGGCUUGCCAGAACGCACUCGACGGUGAGGGAUGAAAGCUGGGGGAGCAAACCGGAUUAGAUACCCGGGUAGUCCCAGCUGUAAACGAUGCAGACUCGGUGAUGAAUAGGCUUCGUGCCUAUUCAGUGCCGCAGGGAAGCCGUUAAGUCUGCCGCCUGGGGAGUACGGUCGCAAGACUAAAACUUAA
This 754-nucleotide ribosomal RNA is filed under the name uncultured archaeon. RNAcentral's name for it is "bacterial SSU rRNA". It matches the Rfam family "Archaeal small subunit ribosomal RNA", at positions 102 to 859 of the family's 1478-position model. The record is from RNAcentral.